AAGUCGUAACAAGGUAACCGUAGGUGAACCUGCGGUUGGAUCAUUACAGAAAGAAAAGGAUGGUGGGCGGGAGGGGCCCAUCAGUCCUUCUUCAAUUGCUAUCUCGGAUCUGCACCAAAGCCCGCUUUACGAGUGAUGGAGGAGUUGAAGAAAAGCAACUAACCAAGGGGAUUUAGAGCAAGAUUCGAUAAUAGUGAUUGUGGUGUAAUGCCAAAAACAUUAUGUGCACUGUUUUGUCUCUGGCGGCAGGGUAAGUAUAAGUAUAUGUAAGUAUACUCUAUGGUUACCUGUCAGUCUGGUGUGAAAGUCAGACCGUGGACAAACCGCCAAUUGAUAAAUAAACUUGUAUUUUAAAAUUACGUCUGAUAUAAAGUUAUGUUGAAAUAUACAAACAACUUUUGGCAACGGAUCUCUUGGCUCUC
Molecule: unclassified non-coding RNA, 422 nt
Filed under: fungal sp.
Lineage: Eukaryota; Fungi
Description: partial internal transcribed spacer region
Rfam family: Eukaryotic small subunit ribosomal RNA (bases 1-46)
Source: RNAcentral